AGAGGUUCAGGGCAAGUCGAGCUGGUCACUUCAGGGAGAGAGCCAGACCAAUGCAGGCAGCCCAAAGACUGCACCGCCUGAGAGGGAAAAGACUGUAGAGACUGAGGAGUGUGUCAGCCUUCACUGCACCAAUGUUUAGCUGUUGAGUCUCCUCUAGUAUUGUUGACCACUUGACAUGUGAGAGCUUGAGGAGUUGUUUCCCCUCCAUUUUCAAGGGCUUGCUCUCUUACUGCCUCCACUUCACCACGUUUUGGCCACUGAGUCGUCUCUGAUUUGUUGAGUUGACCACCCUAUAUAUGAGAGCCUAAGGAGUUGUUUUCCCUCUGUCCCCUUUUGAGGACCUGCUUUUUCUCCUCCAUCAUUCACUGGGCCACUUUUGGGUUCCCUUAGCUUAUUUCAUGUGGUGAG
This is a long non-coding RNA of Gadus morhua (Atlantic cod), 408 nucleotides long. RefSeq lists it as uncharacterized. The transcript is spliced from 3 exons. NCBI's taxonomy places the organism in Eukaryota, Metazoa, Chordata, Actinopteri, Gadiformes, Gadidae. The record is from RefSeq and is a predicted model, not a curated record.